AUGAUCAAGCUUGCAAAAGACAUCAUCAGGCCAGUAGAUCGUCAAUUCAGAACUGUGCAUUCCAAAUUAAGAUCUAGAAAGUAUGCACCAUUUAUGGAUAAUUGCAUUGGUGCAAUAGAUGGGACACACAUACAAGUUGUGGUACCAGUUGCCACUGCUACCCAGCAUAUGAAUAGACAUAAGGAGAAGAGUCAGAAUGUGAUGUGUGUGUGUGACUUUGAUAUGAGAUUCACAUUUGUCCUAGCUGGUUGGCCAGGAUCAGUGCAUGACAUGAGGGUCUUCAAUGAUGCACGAUCCAGAUUUGGUGACAAGUUUCCAAAACCUUCACCUAAUAAGUUUUAUCUUGUGGACUCAGGGUACCCAAAUAGACCGGGUUAUCUUGCACCAUACAAGGGUUUAACCUAUCAUUUCCAGGAGUACCGUGGUGGCACAAUGCCUAGAGGAAAAAAGGAAUAG
This 456-nucleotide ribosomal RNA is filed under the name Triticum aestivum (bread wheat). RNAcentral describes it as "partial small subunit ribosomal RNA". The record is from RNAcentral. Lineage: Eukaryota; Viridiplantae; Streptophyta; Magnoliopsida; Poales; Poaceae.